RNAcentral lists this ribosomal RNA (498 nucleotides) under uncultured bacterium. RNAcentral's name for it is "partial 16S ribosomal RNA". It matches the Rfam family "Bacterial small subunit ribosomal RNA", at positions 29 to 523 of the family's 1533-position model. The record is from RNAcentral.
AUUGAACGCUGGCGGCAUGCCUUACACAUGCAAGUCGAACGGUAACGCGGGGCAACCUGGCGACGAGUGGCGAACGGGUGAGUAAUGUAUCGGAACGUGCCCAGUUGUGGGGGAUAACUGCUCGAAAGAGCAGCUAAUACCGCAUACGACCUGCGGGUGAAAGCGGGGGAUCGCAAGACCUCGCGCAGGUGGACCGGCCGAAAUCAGAUUAGGUAGUUGGUGGGGUAAAGGCUCACCAAGCCAACGAUCUGUAGCUGGUCUGAGAGGACGACCAGCCACACUGGGACUGAGACACGGCCCAGACUCCUACGGGAGGCAGCAGUGGGGAAUUUUGGACAAUGGGCGCAAGCCUGAUCCAGCCAUGCCGCGUGCGGGAAGAAGGCCUUCGGGUUGUAAACUGCUUUUGUCAGGGAAGAAAAGACUCCUGUUAAUACCGGGGGUUCAUGACGGUACCUGAAGAAUAAGCACCGGCUAUCUACGUGCCAGCCGCCGCCGUAA